This 407-nucleotide ribosomal RNA is filed under the name uncultured bacterium. Its description in RNAcentral is "partial 16S ribosomal RNA". It matches the Rfam family "Bacterial small subunit ribosomal RNA", at positions 30 to 526 of the family's 1533-position model. The record is from RNAcentral.
AUUGAACGCUAGCGGGAUGCCUUACACAUGCAAGUCGAACGGAUUGGCGAACGGGUGCGUAAUGUAUCGGAACGUGCCCAUUAGCGGGGGAUAACUACGCGAACGCGUAGCUAUUACCGCAUCCUAUUGGACCCGCCGAUACGGGAUUAGCCAGUUGGUGUGGUAACGGCCCACCAAGGCGACGAUCCGUAGCUGGUCUGAGAGGACGACCAGCCCCACUGGGACUGAGACACGGCCCAGACUCCUACGGGAGGCAGCAGUGGGGAAUUUUGUACAAUGGGGGAAACCCUGAGCCAGCCAUCCCGCGUGUGCGAUGAAGGCCUUCGGGUUGUAAAGCACUUUUGGCAUGAAAGCGGUACCUGCAGAAUAAGCACCGGCUAACUACGUGCCAGCAGCCGCGGUAAUAC